RNAcentral lists this ribosomal RNA (454 nucleotides) under Streptococcus sp. oral taxon C56. RNAcentral describes it as "bacterial SSU rRNA". It matches the Rfam family "Bacterial small subunit ribosomal RNA", at positions 28 to 468 of the family's 1533-position model. The record is from RNAcentral. Lineage: Bacteria; Bacillati; Bacillota; Bacilli; Lactobacillales; Streptococcaceae.
GACGAACGCUGGCGGCGUGCCUAAUACAUGCAAGUAGAACGCUGAAGGAGGAGCUUGCUCUUCUGGAUGAGUUGCGAACGGGUGAGUAACGCGUAGGUAACCUGCCUGGUAGUGGGGGAUAACUAUUGGAAACGAUAGCUAAUACCGCAUAAUAACAGUUGUUGCAUGACAACUGUUUGAAAGGUGCAAUUGCAUCACUACCAGAUGGACCUGCGUUGUAUUAGCUAGUUGGUGGGGUAACGGCUCACCAAGGCGACGAUACAUAGCCGACCUGAGAGGGUGAUCGGCCACACUGGGACUGAGACACGGCCCAGACUCCUACGGAAGGCAGCAGUAGGGAAUCUUCGGCAAUGGACGAAAGUCUGACCGAGCAACGCCGCGUGAGUGAAGAAGGUUUUCGGAUCGUAAAGCUCUGUUGUAAGAGAAGAACGAGUGUGAGAGUGGAAAGUUCACA